Molecule: non-coding RNA, 1023 nt
Organism: Benincasa hispida (wax gourd)
Lineage: Eukaryota; Viridiplantae; Streptophyta; Magnoliopsida; Cucurbitales; Cucurbitaceae
Source: RefSeq, a predicted model, not a curated record
AAAAAAAUCUUAUAAUAAAUAAUUAGAAACAUAACCUUUGAAAAUCUUUUUGAAACAAAAUGGAAGGAGAUGAGUGAGAGCUGGCUGCUGGAAGAAAAUACUUUGCAAUGGCCGAUGGAAAUGGAGAAGAUUGGUAUAGAUGGAGAGGUGGAGAAAAUGUUGGAGCUCAAUAGCCAUCAUUCUCUGCGUCUUCUCAGGUCAAUGCGCGGCGGACGAGGUGGCAGGUGCAGUGGCGCGUGUCAGAUGUUGGCGGGACUUCACGACGGCGCGUCAGGAAGCGGAAAGUUUAAGAAAUUGAACGACAUAAUCAACCUGCUGGAAAUUAGCAGUGGAAAAUAAAGGGUUGGCAUUUGCAAAUCGUGCCAAUGAAAAGGGGUUUUGUUUAGUUACUCUCCAUUAAUUUAUGGCCAGUUUACCAGAUAAAUACACUAUAUCAAAUAGGUGAGUAACUGAGUAUGUUGAGUACAGAAUAUCAAAUACAUGUGCAUUUGAUAGGUAUGCUAAAUCCAACUACUUGGUUUCUGCCUAAGGAGAAGUUUAGUUUACCCGAUGCUUUUACAUAUAUAAAAUACGUCUUCUUCAUGAAAGAAGACAAAGUUGUAUUGUAUCUACAUCAGAAUUUCGAAUUGUGCUGAUAAAAAGGAUGAGUCGAUGACUACCUGUUUUGCCAGACUGUUUGGGGGGGUAGAAACCUAUUGCUUUUCAACCCAAAAUUCUUUGUUAUCAACAAGUAAACUUAACCAGGUGCACUUGCCUACAUGAGGAGUGGAUGAACAACGAUGGAGAAGUAUCCUUGAUAAGAUGGCAAAUAUUGGCAAGUAUCUUACCAAAUCAACUUAUACUAGGAAAGGAAGAAACUGAGAAGUUUUUAUUCUUGAACGCAGAUUGUAUAGGAUCCUUCGCUAUUAUUAGUGUUUUACACCCCCUGUCCCCCUAGAAAAAAAAAAGAACCAAGGAAGUUUUGUAAUGAAUAGAUUAAAUUAGUUCUUUUGUUUGCUUUCUGGUAUUCUGUUAUUAACUUCA